RNAcentral lists this ribosomal RNA (252 nucleotides) under uncultured bacterium. Its description in RNAcentral is "partial 16S ribosomal RNA". It matches the Rfam family "Bacterial small subunit ribosomal RNA", at positions 524 to 776 of the family's 1533-position model. The record is from RNAcentral.
UACGGAGGGAGCUAGCGUUGUUCGGAAUUACUGGGCGUAAAGCGCACGUAGGCGGCUAUUCAAGUCAGAGGUGAAAGCCCGGGGCUCAACCCCGGAACUGCCUUUGAAACUAGGUAGCUAGAAUCUUGGAGAGGUCAGUGGAAUUCCGAGUGUAGAGGUGAAAUUCGUAGAUAUUCGGAAGAACACCAGUGCGAAGGCGACUGACUGGACAAGUAUUGACGCUGAGGUGCGAAAGCGUGGGGAGCAAACAGG